RNAcentral lists this ribosomal RNA (379 nucleotides) under uncultured bacterium. RNAcentral's name for it is "partial 16S ribosomal RNA". It matches the Rfam family "Bacterial small subunit ribosomal RNA", at positions 338 to 734 of the family's 1533-position model. The record is from RNAcentral.
CCUACGGGAGGCAGCAGUGGGGAAUAUUGCACAAUGGGGGAAACCCUGAUGCAGCGACGCCGCGUGAGUGAAGAAGUCUUUCGGUAUGUAAAGCUCUAUCAGCAGGGAAGAAAAUGACGGUACCUGAUUAAGAAGCCACGGCUAACUACGUGCCAGCAGCCGCGGUAAUACGUAGGGGGCAAGCGUUAUCCGGAUGUACUGGGGGUAAAGGGAGCGUAGGCGGCAGGACAAGUCAGGAGUGAAAUGCCCGGGCUUAACCCCGGAACUGCUUUGGAAACUGGCCAGCUAGAGUGCAGGAGAGGUAGGUGGAAUUCCUGGUGUAGCGGUGAAAUGCGUAGAGAUUAGGAGGAACACCGGUGGCGAAGGCGGCUUACUGGAC